CUGAUCGAACAUCCAGAAUACCCAGGUUUAACAGCAUCGCAGUUUUCAUUUCAAAUUCCAUCACCUUUGGAGGAAAAUUACGUGCGGAAGCGUCAUGCUCGUUCUAUUACUUUGCAUGGUGACACUAUGAUGCCAGUCAAUCCCACAUCUUGGGUUGUUCCAGACCAGAGCAGAGACUUGCACUUGGGUGGGGUAGGGAACUCUACUUCACAUGUUGAGGAUCCAGCUCAAAGUUGAGGUUUGUUAAGGCAGCAGCGCAUGCUGAGAUCAUUUAUUUGAACAGAUGCAGAAAUCUAUUUCAAGGAAAAGCCGGUGAAUAUGUAGAUGUGUUGGUUGAUUCUCUAGUUUUCUGUUCUAAAUGACUAAAUCCCGCUUGUGUGAGGAAAACUAUCCAAGUUUCUUCAUCGACUGUCUUAGUAUUGAUUUCAUGACGACACUGUGAAACUAUUAAAGACGAUAAUUUAUGUUUUCUUGUUUCCAAUGUUGUUACUUUCAUUACAAAUGGAAUGAUGUUAAAGUAGUCUUGUUCUUCCUCCUCUUUUUUCAUACUAGUCUUG
Olea europaea var. sylvestris is the source of this 557-nucleotide long non-coding RNA. RefSeq lists it as uncharacterized. The record is from RefSeq and is a predicted model, not a curated record. The transcript is spliced from 3 exons. NCBI's taxonomy places the organism in Eukaryota, Viridiplantae, Streptophyta, Magnoliopsida, Lamiales, Oleaceae.